This 253-nucleotide ribosomal RNA is filed under the name uncultured bacterium. Its description in RNAcentral is "partial 16S ribosomal RNA". It matches the Rfam family "Bacterial small subunit ribosomal RNA", at positions 524 to 776 of the family's 1533-position model. The record is from RNAcentral.
GACGGAGGAGGCAAGCGUUAUCCGGAAUUAUUGGGCGUAAAGCGUCCGUAGGUGGCUAUGCAAGUCUGCUGUCAAAGCAUGGAGCUCAACUACAUAGAGGCAGUGGAAACUGAAUAGCUAGAGUUCGGUAGGGGUAGCGGGAAUUCCCAGUGUAGCGGUGAAAUGCGUAGAGAUUGGGAAGAACAUCGGUGGCGAAAGCGCGCUACUGGGCCGAAACUGACACUGAGGGACGAAAGCUAGGGGAGCGAAAGGG